Homo sapiens (human) is the source of this 702-nucleotide long non-coding RNA. Ensembl annotates it as long intergenic non-protein coding RNA 879. NCBI's taxonomy places the organism in Eukaryota, Metazoa, Chordata, Mammalia, Primates, Hominidae. The record is from Ensembl.
AGAAGUCCAGGGCUAGGAGCCUCAGCCGGCGGACGCCAGGAAACAGGCUCCCUCUGCAGUGGAAUUACCCUUAUGUCUUUUCUGUCUAUGCUGAUCCACCUGAUCUUGAACUGGUGCUAUUCCAUGGGGAAAAUUGGAACAUGGGGCAAUUAACACUUUCUCCACUUUAUCCCAUCAACAGGAAAUUGAAAUAUAACCAACUAACUCAGGAGACAUCAUGGAAGAUGUCACACAGUGAAUGAUGAUGAAGCAGAAUUUUUAAAAUGUGUAGGAUUACGAGAAGUGGGGUCAUUUUUCUUUGUGUAUGGUAUUGCUGAUGCAGUUUAAUGCUCCAUUACUUCUAAAUUUUCAUCAUAAGCUAGAUUUUCCAGUUGUGGUUUCUAUAAAGAAAAACAAACAUUCUGAAGACAGUUUUUCCAGAUUUAUUCCAGAUAUCGAUGAUUAACUUUUGAAGGUCUAGGUUAAUAGCAGGUAAUUGUGACAAGUCCAGUGUGGGUUACUGGUCAUGAAGAAUCCAUUGUUGAUGACAUCCCAGAAGAGAACACUAAGUCUUAGCUUUCAUCUUACCCCUGAACUUCCCUUCCUCUGAAGCAGGAUAUUGGAGACACCUGAUUUAUAUCACGAUGCAUAAAGCCAUGUUGUGUUGGAGGCCCAAGAAGCCAAGUUUAUGUUAAAUAAAAAUGAGUUAAAACGUCUAGAAAA